This 66-nucleotide transfer RNA is filed under the name Philaenus spumarius (meadow spittlebug). RNAcentral's name for it is "tRNA-Leu". It matches the Rfam family "tRNA". From Rfam's summary of the family: Transfer RNA (tRNA) molecules are approximately 80 nucleotides in length. Their secondary structure includes four short double-helical elements and three loops (D, anti-codon, and T loops). Lineage: Eukaryota; Metazoa; Arthropoda; Insecta; Hemiptera; Aphrophoridae. The record is from RNAcentral.
ACUGAAUUGGCAGAAAUAGUGCAUUAAAUUUAGAAUUUGAUUAUAUAGGUUUUACUAUAUUCAGUA